RNAcentral lists this long non-coding RNA (739 nucleotides) under Phoenix dactylifera (date palm). RNAcentral's name for it is "long non-coding RNA (PDAC_LNC018708)". The record is from RNAcentral. Lineage: Eukaryota; Viridiplantae; Streptophyta; Magnoliopsida; Arecales; Arecaceae.
UUUUUCUUCUUCUUCUCUUUUUCCCUCUCUCUGUGUUUCCACCGCCUGAGACUUCCCUUCCUCUCUCUCUGUUUCAUUCCGUCUGAGACCAACUCAAACCCUCCAAUUAAGUCACAACAAGCACUAUUCACCCUUUGUUUAAUAUUAUUAAAUUCCCAUUUUGCCCCUAACACUUCAACAUAUCUACAACUAUGCCAUUAUCUUUUGAUUCCUUCCAAUUUUACCCCUUAUAUAAUUUUAAAGAUCUAUUCUAUCCCUUUUUAUAUAAAAUUUUUUUUUGGGGUUAUUGCAUCCUUCCCCCUUAUAUAAAAUUCGUCCUCAAAUUUAAAAGAGUAAAUUACCUGAUUACUCAAAGGGGUGAGUGUAUCUUCUCUUCAUAUUUUGCUCGGUGUGGUAUUGGAAAUCAAAUGAAUUGGGAGUGUUUUACCUUCUAUCUCUACCACACAGGUAGGAUACACAUGCUUCGCUUUUAUACUAUCCCCUACAGAUGUACUAAUAGCUAAGAAAAUAGACAUUAAUAUCUUAUCCUUAGCUAACUUUUUAGCAAAAUAAGGAGACACAAAUGAAUGGGUAGCUCCAGAAUCAAAUAACACUCUAGCUUUAAUCUUAUCAAUGAGGAGCAUACCUGUCACAUCCUGUGCCUCCUGUGGAUUUACCGUGAACACCCUUCCUUGCCCUCUGCCUACUGGAGCUGAUGGCUGAGAUGGUCCAGCACUCUGCUGUGACGCUGGUGUCUGAC